CCUACGGGUGUCAGCAGUGGGGAAUAUUGGGCAAUGGACGCAAGUCUGACCCAGCAACGCCGCGUGAAGGAAGAAGGCUUUCGGGUUGUAAACUUCUUUUAAGGGGGAAGAGCAGAAGACGGUACCCCUUGAAUAAGCCACGGCUAACUACGUGCCAGCAGCCGCGGUAAUACGUAGGUGGCAAGCGUUGUCCGGAUUUACUGGGUGUAAAGGGCGUGCAGCCGGAGAGACAAGUCAGAUGUGAAAUCCACGGGCUCAACCCGUGAACUGCAUUUGAAACUGUUUCCCCUGAGUGCACACAGGGAUGCCGGAAGUCAUGGUGUAGCGGUGAAAUGCUUAGAUAGCAUGAAGAACUCCGAUCGCGAAGGCAAGUGUCCGGGGUGCAACUGACGCUGAGGCUCGAAAGUGCGGGUAUCAAACAGGAUUAGAUACCCCUGUAGUC
RNAcentral lists this ribosomal RNA (442 nucleotides) under uncultured bacterium. RNAcentral describes it as "partial 16S ribosomal RNA". It matches the Rfam family "Bacterial small subunit ribosomal RNA", at positions 338 to 795 of the family's 1533-position model. The record is from RNAcentral.